Molecule: unclassified non-coding RNA, 197 nt
Filed under: uncultured fungus
Lineage: Eukaryota; Fungi
Description: sequence contains ITS1
Source: RNAcentral
UUAACUUAUUUGUUAUAUUGCUCAGACAACACAAAAAUCAAGAGUUUAGGGUCCUCUGGCAGGCACGGACCAGCCUAAGCCAGUGGUCAUAAGACGGGCCUGCCAAAGCAACAAAGGUAAUGUAAACAAAGGGUGGGAGAUCUACCCCGGAGGGCAAUUUCUCUGUAAUGAUCCUUCCGCAGGUUCACCUACGGAAA